This 915-nucleotide long non-coding RNA is filed under the name Theobroma cacao (cacao). RNAcentral's name for it is "long non-coding RNA (TCAC_LNC003727)". Lineage: Eukaryota; Viridiplantae; Streptophyta; Magnoliopsida; Malvales; Malvaceae. The record is from RNAcentral.
CAAUUUACCAUUUAAACCCAUUUUCUAUAAAAUCACACAAUUGAAUAAAACUACUCUAGAUAAUUAAGACGAUAAUAAGUUUACUCAUAGUUCUAGGAGUCAAUGUACUCCUAAUCCCAAUCUCCAAGCACAAUCUCUGUACUUUUACCAGUGUAAUUUACUCACCACCUAUCCACAAUGUACAAUACAUAAUUCACCACAUCAAUGCUUGACUAUUAUAAAAUCAAUUCAGGCUCGGUGUAUAUGCAUGAUAUGAUAUGCAACUUAUCCGACUACCGCUUAAAUGCGGUGUUGACUUAAUUCGGCCUAUUACUUGAUUAAAUGACAAUUGUGUCCGAUUUGGCUCCAAAUCGCUCCAUUUCAUUUCUAAUAUUUCAAUUCACUAAAUACAAUUCCAAUAAUCUAAAAUUCAGCCUAACAACCCUCACAAUUCUUUUUGAAAAUUUCGGCCAUUGUGGUGCACUAUCACUAAAAAUUUUUUCAUUUCAUUUUCUCACCAUAAAUCAUCAUUUCAUCAAUUUUUCAACCAAUUCACUUGAUCACAAAAUCAAUUCAUUACUUCUACACUUCACAUAGGGUUCGACCAUUGAAGGUUCAUGGGGAAAAGGGAUUCUUUUCUUGUUGUUUUGUUUCUAAACAUGCUUAACUAACUAAAAACACUAACAUAACUUAGAAUCAAAUCAAUCUAACAUCAUUCUCUCUCCAUACCCAUUCCAACCAGCCAUGAAUUCAUCAUGAAAACAUGUAAUUUAACAAUGGAAAUUAAGGGAAAAUGCAUGGGUAAGGUAAAUCACUAGCAAAAUCAAAGAAAUUUUACCUUUGCUUGAUCAAAUCCUUGAAUUCCAACACUUUCUCUUUGAUUUUUUCCACCUAGGGUUUGUUCUUCCUUGGUUUCUCUUAUUUUCUGGUUUGGUU